This 332-nucleotide unclassified non-coding RNA is filed under the name soil metagenome. RNAcentral describes it as "partial contains 5.8S ribosomal RNA, internal transcribed spacer 2, and large subunit ribosomal RNA". The stretch from base 1 to 120 matches the Rfam family "5.8S ribosomal RNA", at positions 35 to 154 of the family's 154-position model. The record is from RNAcentral.
GAUGAAGAACGCAGCGAAAUGCGAUAAGUAGUGUGAAUUGCAGAAUUCAGUGAAUCAUCGAAUCUUUGAACGCACAUUGCGCCCUUCGGUAUUCCUUAGGGCAUGCCUGUUCGAGCGUCAUUUAAACCUUCAAGCUAAGCUUGGUGUUGGGUGACUGUCCGCUUCACGGCGGACUCGCCUCAAAAUUAUUGGCGGCCGGUACAUUGGCUUCGAGCGCAGCAGAAACGCGAACUCGGGCCCGUCGUAUUGGCUCCCAGAAGCUAUCUUCACAAUUUUGACCUCGGAUCAGGUAGGGAUACCCGCUGAACUUAAGCAUAUCAAUAAGCGGAGGA